GACGAACGCUGGCGGCGUGCUUAACACAUGCAAGUCGAACGGAAAGGCCCUGCUUUUGUGGGGUGCUCGAGUGGCGAACGGGUGAGUAACACGUGAGUAACCUGCCCUUGACUUUGGGAUAACUUCAGGAAACUGGGGCUAAUACCGGGUAGAAGCUCCUGCUGCAUGGUGGGGGUUGGUAAGUUUCGGCGGUUGGGGAUGGACUCGCGGCUUCUCAGCUGGUUUGUGGGGUAGUGGCUUACCAAGGCUUUGACGGGUAGCCGGCCUGAGAGGGUGACCGGCCACAUUGGGACUGAGAUAGGGACCAGUAUCCUACGGGAGGCAGCAGUGGGGAAUAUUGCGCAAUGGGCGGAAGCCUGAUGCAGCAACGCCGCGUGCGGGAUGACGGCCUUCGGGUUGUAAACCGCUUUCGCCUGUGACGAAGAGUGAGUGACGGUAAUGGGUCAAGAAGCACCGGCUAACUACGUG
Molecule: ribosomal RNA, 468 nt
Filed under: uncultured bacterium
Lineage: Bacteria
Description: partial 16S ribosomal RNA
Rfam family: Bacterial small subunit ribosomal RNA
Source: RNAcentral